AGCAGCCGCGGUAAUUCCAGCUCCAAUAGCGUAUAUUAAAGUUGUUGCAGUUAAAAAGCUCGUAGUUGAAUUUCGGGAUUAGUACGUUGGUCGUGCCUUCGGUACGUACUGGUGUUACUGAUUCCUACCUUCUGACGAACCAUCAUGUCAUUAAUUUGGUGUGGCGGGGAAUCAGGACUGUUACUUUGAAAAAAUUAGAGUGUUUAAAGCAGGCUCGCGCUUGAAUACAUUAGCAUGGAAUAAUGAAAUAGGACGUAGACCCUAUUUUGUUGGUUUCUAGGAUUGACGUAAUGAUUAAUAGGGAUAGUUGGGGGCAUUAGUAUUCAAUUGUCAGAGGUGAAAUUCUUGGAUUUGUUGAAGACUAACUACUGCGAAAGCAUUUGCCAAGGAUGUUUUCAUUAAUCAAGAACGAAAGUUAGGGGAUCGAAGACGAUCAGAUACCGUCGUAGUCUUAACCAUAAACUAUGCCGACUAGGGAUCGGAUGAUGUUAAUUUUUUAAUGACUCA
Molecule: ribosomal RNA, 507 nt
Filed under: uncultured fungus
Lineage: Eukaryota; Fungi
Description: SSU rRNA
Rfam family: Eukaryotic small subunit ribosomal RNA
Source: RNAcentral